This 72-nucleotide transfer RNA is filed under the name Bos taurus (domestic cattle). It matches the Rfam family "tRNA". From Rfam's summary of the family: Transfer RNA (tRNA) molecules are approximately 80 nucleotides in length. RNAcentral also lists the same sequence under 4 other names. The record is from Rfam by way of RNAcentral. Lineage: Eukaryota; Metazoa; Chordata; Mammalia; Artiodactyla; Bovidae.
UCCCUGGUGGCUCAGAUGGUAAAGCAUCUGCCUGGAAUGCAGGAGACCCAGGUUUGAUCCCUGGGUUGGGAA